CCGCCGGAGUUUGCACGUCUUUGAUUUCAAAGCCGAGAUGGCGAAUGGCAUUUCUCACGCUACGGACAUUUCCGGCGCCAUAGUCGAGCAGAGUCACUGCAGAAUCGGCGGGGGAACCUGGAGUGAGAGAUUUCUUGGAGGCUUGAACUUUGAUCGGCGGAAGUCAAUAUUAUAGAAACUUUUGGACAGUGAAAUGAGAGAAGACGAGGACAAAGAUGAAAUUCUGGAAGGUUUACAAGAAGAACAAGGAGGAGGCAGAGAAGCAAAUGACGCCGCCUCCAUUGCAGCUAAACUGCCGUCU
This 301-nucleotide unclassified non-coding RNA is filed under the name Hevea brasiliensis (rubber tree). Lineage: Eukaryota; Viridiplantae; Streptophyta; Magnoliopsida; Malpighiales; Euphorbiaceae. The record is from RNAcentral.